GUAGGUGAACCUGCGGAAGGAUCAUUAACACGUGCUCCACGUUUAUCAAAACCAAUGAGAACCCGUUUUCCGCCGCCCUUCGUUAGAAUGAAUGGGAAUCAGUCCAGUGUAGUGAGUGGGACCGGUCUCGGUCAGCCUGGCUGUUACACACUGCCGAUCUUCGAAAGGAGUGAAGCGACCAUUGGAUCUAUUCUGAAGGCAAACCGUUCUAGUUUCCAAUCUCCACCCAUGAUUGAGUUGCUAGGGCACU
RNAcentral lists this unclassified non-coding RNA (250 nucleotides) under plant metagenome. Its description in RNAcentral is "partial contains small subunit ribosomal RNA, internal transcribed spacer 1, and 5.8S ribosomal RNA". The record is from RNAcentral.